Molecule: ribosomal RNA, 358 nt
Filed under: Azanicada zuluensis
Lineage: Eukaryota; Metazoa; Arthropoda; Insecta; Hemiptera; Cicadidae
Description: partial 16S ribosomal RNA
Source: RNAcentral
UAUUAGUCUUUUAAUUGAAGGCUUGAAUGAAAGAUUGAAUGAAAAAUAAACUUUAUUAAUAAAAAUUAUUUAAUUUAUUUUUUAAGUAAAAAUUCUUAAAUAAAUAAGUGGGACGAGAAGACCCUUUAGAGUUUUAUUUUUAUUUUUAUUAUGAAAUUAAAGAAUCAAUAUUUCUAUGAUAAAAAUGAAUUUUUUAUUGGGGUGAUAUUAAAAAUUAUUAAACUUUUAAUUAAUAUUUCAUUAAUAUAUGUUUAAUUGAUCCAAUAAAUUUUUGAUUAUAAGAUUAAAUUACCUUAGGGAUAACAGCGUUAUUAAUUUGAAGAGUCCAAAUCGAUAAAUUAGUUUGCGGCCUCGAUGU